RNA transcript from Condylostylus longicornis, 4131 nucleotides. It is a transcript of the gene named serine/threonine-protein kinase Tao, with no coding region annotated. NCBI's taxonomy places the organism in Eukaryota, Metazoa, Arthropoda, Insecta, Diptera, Dolichopodidae. The transcript is spliced from 17 exons. The record is from RefSeq and is a predicted model, not a curated record.
UAAUAGUUCGUAUUCAUAGUUUAUUUUAUUAGCUUUUUUUUAUGGAUUUUCCAAAUUUCGUAAAAUAUAAUUAAAAUGAAAAUUUAAGUGCUAAUUUGUAAAUAUGAAUCAAAUUUCUAAUUUAAAAGUGGAUGCAAUGUCUAUUAAAAUGUCAUGAAAAUGUAAAUUUUUUUUUAAGUACUCUUGUGCGAGAAAAGAAAAGAAAAAAAGGAGAACAGACGACAAAAAGUGAAAUUUUUUUCGCCUUGUGAUUGUCAAAAUUAAUUAAAAAAAAUUUAUUAAAUUUAUUUUAAAUCUUAUAUAUAUAUGAACUCUUUUAAAAUAAUUUUAUCGUAAAACAAAAGAUAAAUGAAACAAUAAUAAUGCCUGCUUCUGGUCGACCUGGUAGUCUCAAAGAUCCAGAAAUAGCGGAAUUAUUUAAUAAACAUGAUCCGGAAAAAAUAUUUGAAGAUCUUCGCGAAAUUGGCCAUGGUUCCUUUGGAGCAGUGUACUAUGCCCGGUGUAAUCUUACCAAAGAAAUUGUCGCAAUUAAAAAAAUGUCUUAUGCAGGCAAACAAAGCCUUGAAAAGUGGCAGGAUAUUCUAAAAGAAAUAAGAUUCCUUAGACAAUUAAAGCACUCAAACACAAUAGAAUAUAAAGGAUGCUAUCUUAGAGAAAGUACAGCAUGGUUAGUAAUGGAAUAUUGCGUUGGAUCUGCAUCUGAUAUUAUAGAAGUUCAUAAAAUGCCUUUACAUGAAGAAGAAAUUUCUGCCAUUUGCGAAGGGUGUUUGUCAGGAUUAAGCUAUUUACAUAGUUUAGGACGAAUUCAUAGAGAUAUAAAAGCAGGAAAUAUUCUUCUAACUGAACAAGGAAUAGUAAAAUUAGCAGAUUUUGGAAGCGCUGCUAUCAAAUGUCCUGCUAACAGUUUUGUUGGUACACCUUACUGGAUGGCACCAGAAGUUAUAUUAGCAAUGGAUGAAGGUCAAUAUGAUGGCAAAGUUGACGUUUGGUCAUUAGGCAUAACUUGCAUUGAAUUAGCAGAAAGAAAACCUCCUUAUUUUAAUAUGAAUGCUAUGUCAGCUCUAUAUCAUAUUGCUCAAAAUGAUUCACCAUCAUUACAAGGAGAAGAUUGGUCUGAUACAUUUAGGCAUUUUGUAGAAUCUUGUUUGAAAAAAUCUCCUAGUGAUAGGCCAACUUCUUUAGAGUUGUUAAAACACACAUAUUUAACACGCCAACGAUCAAAUAAUGUUCUUAUAGAAUUAAUAGCACGUACCAAGGCUGCUGUUAGAGAACUAGAUAACUUGAAUUAUAGAAAAAUGAAAAAAAUUCUAAUGAUAGAUUCAUGUGAAACUGAAAGUGCAAUUGGUGAUGCGAGCGAUACUCAAGAUGAACAAGCUGGUGCUGAUAGUAGUAAGAGUAAUAGCAUUACAUCAGAACAUUCAAUCCAAUCUGUCGGAGUAUCUGCGGCCAGUAGUCAAGUAAUAAUUAGCUCAUCGUCAAAUUCAAUUCCGCCUGGCAUUAACUCCAGUGGCAAUAUGCACGGCCUUCCGUCUCAACAUGGUGGUAUCAAUUACCAAAAUUCACCAAAUUCGCCUAACAUAAAUAUGUACCAAAAUAUGGUUAAUAUAAAUGCUAUGGCUGCAGCAGCUGGUACUGGUGCUAUAUCACGAAAUUCAUCACGUCAUAGAAAUUUACCACCUUUACCAAAUGUCAUGCAUAAUAUGAAUAAUAAUGUAACUCCAACAAAUUCAACUUCAAUUGUUCCAGCACCCACAACUUCAGCAUCAUCAACGAUUACAAACAAUUCAUCUGGAAGUUCUACCACCAGUUUUAUGUCGAGCACUAAUAGUAUGCUAGGACACUUACAGCAACCAGGUUAUUUGUCAUCUCCAGCAGCAAGAGAAGCCGUUUUAGCUGCUGCAGCUAGCUCAACACAUCAUGCUAAUUCGAAUGCAAUGCACGAGCACGGAACAAAUAAUUUCGCUACAAUUCGAACAACUAGCAUUGUUACAAAACAACAAAAGGAACAUAGUAAACAGUAUAAUAGUUUAAAUAUAACAAUUAGAACAAACAACGCCAACGAUUAUUAUCCUUGUUCACCAUUAUGCGGAAGUAAAACUUAUUUGUCACUUAAACAUCAUGGAUGUACCUAUGCAUAUUUAUUUCUGCCGACGUAUAAUCAGGAAAAAUACUAUGAGGAGAUGCAUGAGCAAAUGUCUGGGUACAAAAGAAUGCGUCGCGAACAUCAAAGUGCUUUACUUAAACUGGAAGAAAAAUGUAAAGUUGAAAUGGAAGCACAUAAAGCUUGCCUUGAUAAAGAAUAUGAAAAUUUAUUAAAUACAUUUUCAAAGGAUUUGGAAAAAUUAUCGACAAAACAUCAGCAAGAAUUAGAGCGGCGUGCUAAACAAAAUUUGGCUUCCGAAAAGAAAUUACAUAAAGAAAUUACUUUAAAACAAGAAAAUGAGCGCAAAGCAUUUGAUAUGCACCAAAAACGAGAAUAUAAAAUGAAUAAGGAGAGAUGGAAGCGUGAAUUGUCAAUGGAUGAUUCAACUCCUAAAAGGCAACGAGAUUUAACGUUACAAACGCAAAAGGAGGAUUUGAAAAAAGCAGAAGCUGAAGAAGAGGAACGUUUGAUACGCGUUCAUAAAUAUUAUCUUCAACUGGAAAUGAGAAAAUUCAAAAGAAAACGAAUGUUAUUGCUACAUGAAUUGCAAAGUCAAUUAUUGGGAGAUGAAUUGAGCAAGAAACAGCAACAAUUAGAACAAGCGCAUUCAAUGUUAUUAAAGCAUCAUGAAAAAACUCAGGAAUUAGAAUAUAAGCAGUUAAAAAGUGUUCAUAAUCUAAGGGAGGAGCAAAUAUCUAAACAACAUUCAACAGAGCUUCAGAACCAACAAAAUUAUAUGGAAGCAGCCAAAAAAGAGUUAAUAAGAAGACACGCCUUAGAACUUAAACAACAGCCAAAGAGUUUGAAACAAAAGGAGCUACAAAUUCGAAAACAAUUUCGGGAAACUUGCAAAACGCAAACACGACAAUAUAAGGCAUUAAAAGCGCAAAUUUUGCAAACUACACCAAAAGAACAUCAGAAGGGUGUAAUAAAACAAUUAAAAGAUGAGAAGAAAAGAAAAUUAGCUUUACUGGGCGAACAGUAUGAACAAAGUAUUGCUGAUAUGCAUUGUAAACAAACAUUACGUUUAGAUGAAAGUCAAGAAAUUGAAGAUCAGCAAUUGCAAGAGCGAUUAAAAUAUGAAUUAGAUAUUUUAAUGAACUAUCAAAGUAAAAAUAAGAGUCAAGCUCAAGCACAACGUGACCGAGAGCGCAAAGAAUUGGAGGAUCGUGUUAAUAUACGCAGGUCAUUAUUACAAAGCAAGAUGGAAGCCGAAUUACAACAAUUCAAUCAUGAAAGUGCCGAAAGAGCACGAUUAUUACAAGAAAAACAACAGAAAGAAGCAGAAGCCUUUGACGACGAAUCAUUAUCUUUAGGAUUCAGUUCUCUUGAAAUUAGCGAAGAAUCAAAAGAACCUUUUCCAGAUCUAACUGGAAGUUUAUCUGGUUCUAUGAUAAGUUUAGCACAUAGUCAAUCUUCAACUGGUUUUCCAUAUACUCCUGGGUCUCUAUAGCACACUUAUACAUCACGACGUUCUGUAACCACUCUUAGUGGUACAACAAAAUCCACAUCAUCAUCACUUUCAUCAACAUUAACUAAAUCAACAUCGGUAAAAAGGAAACAUAAUUUAAAUAUUAAUCAAAAUUUAUUGACAUCUACAGUUGUUGAAGAAAAUCACAAUAAAAAUGGACAAUGCAGUGAUGAUAGUAAUGAAGAAAAUUUAAGAAGAAUGUCUAUUUCUUCUAUAUACCCAAAAUAAAUGGAAUAUAAAUUUUAUGUAUAUUCAAAAUAUCUGGCAAAAAAUAAACAUUUUUGGACAAAAAAUUUAACAAAAAAAACAACUUGGAAAAUAUUAACUAAGUAUAUAAUAAUAUAAUUCUGCAGGAAUUCAAUUCCGGAAAAAAAAUAAUAAAGAAUUAAAUUUAUGUAUAAAAAAAAAAAUAAUAUAAAAAGAAAGAAAGCAAUUAAAUUAAAAAAUAUUAAAGUGAAAAACACAACAACUCUCUCAUAAUUAAAAUUGUGUAGUUGUUAUUUAUUUUGUAUUUAGG